This 253-nucleotide ribosomal RNA is filed under the name uncultured bacterium. RNAcentral describes it as "partial 16S ribosomal RNA". It matches the Rfam family "Bacterial small subunit ribosomal RNA", at positions 524 to 776 of the family's 1533-position model. The record is from RNAcentral.
UACGGGGGGGGUAAGCGUUGUUCGGAAUUACUGGGCGUAAAGGGCUCGUAGGCGGCCAACUAAGACAUACGUGAAAUCCCUCAGCUUAACUGGGGAACUGCGUGUGAUACUGGAUGGCUUGGAUUUGGGAGAGGGAUGCGGAAUUCCAGGUGUAGCGGUGAAAUGCGUAGAUAUCUGGAGGAACACCGGUGGCGAAGGCGGCAUCCUGGACCAAUAUUGACGCUGAGGAGCGAAAGCCAGGGGAGCAAACGGG